Molecule: long non-coding RNA, 569 nt
Filed under: Elaeis guineensis (African oil palm)
Lineage: Eukaryota; Viridiplantae; Streptophyta; Magnoliopsida; Arecales; Arecaceae
Description: long non-coding RNA (EGUI_LNC043572)
Source: RNAcentral
CGGGUGAAGGUCGAGUAAAACAAAACAUUUGUCGAACUUCCAUUAUCAACAAAAAUUCGUUUUACAUCAUAAUUGGCUAUUGUCGCCGACACAACAACAGCGUCAUCGUGGGGAGUCUGGAUGCCCCGAACAUCGUCUUCUGUGAAGGUGAUUACGUCGUCCGGGCGUGGCCUUUUCGUCGGCUCCCCUCCUGCAGACGUCCCCGGCCCCAGCCGCUUGGAGAUCAUGUUGAUGACUCCGGCCGUCGGCUGGUUGGUUGGCACCUCUUCAGUCGGCUAGGGGCGUCGUUCGGCAAUCGGUUGGGCCGGCGGACCUUUCCGAAAUUUGCCGAGGUACCCCCGGCGGAUGAGAUUUUCGAUCUCAUCCUUCAACUGGAUGCAUCGCUCGGUGUCGUGGCCGUGGCUCCGAUGGAACCGGCAGUACUUCCGAUGGUCGAGGCCCUUUGCCUUCAGAGGUGGAGGCCGUCGCAGGUACUCUUCUCCCUCGAUCUCCAUCAGGAUCUGCGCACGGGGAGCGGAGAGAGGAGUGUAGGAGUCAUACCUGGGAUGCACCGGCCUCGGAGUCUGUCG